RNAcentral lists this transfer RNA (66 nucleotides) under Powellomyces hirtus. Its description in RNAcentral is "tRNA-Pro". It matches the Rfam family "tRNA". Rfam says of the family: Transfer RNA (tRNA) molecules are approximately 80 nucleotides in length. The record is from RNAcentral. Lineage: Eukaryota; Fungi; Chytridiomycota; Chytridiomycetes; Spizellomycetales; Powellomycetaceae.
GGCGUAGUUCAAUGGUUAGAAUUCUGGUUUUGGGAAUCAGCGAUAUAGGUUCGAUUCCUAUCGCCC